GGAGAAGUACUCAAGAGGCUUAAGAGGUGUUCCUGCUAAGAACAUAGGUCGAGCGAUCGACGCGAGGGUUCGAAUCCCUCCUUCUCCG
RNAcentral lists this transfer RNA (88 nucleotides) under Clostridiales bacterium. RNAcentral's name for it is "tRNA-Ser". It matches the Rfam family "tRNA". From Rfam's summary of the family: Transfer RNA (tRNA) molecules are approximately 80 nucleotides in length. Lineage: Bacteria; Bacillati; Bacillota; Clostridia; Eubacteriales. The record is from RNAcentral.